This 253-nucleotide ribosomal RNA is filed under the name uncultured bacterium. RNAcentral's name for it is "partial 16S ribosomal RNA". It matches the Rfam family "Bacterial small subunit ribosomal RNA", at positions 524 to 776 of the family's 1533-position model. The record is from RNAcentral.
GACAGAGGGUGCAAACGUUGCUCGGAAUUACUGGGCGUAAAGCGCGUGUAGGUGGAUUGGUGUGUCAGAUGUGAAAUCCCUGGGCUCAACCCAGGAACUGCACCUGAAACUACCAGUCUUGAGUGGUGGAGAGGGAAGUGGAAUUCCUGGUGUAGCGGUGAAAUGCGCAGAUAUCAGGAGGAACACCGGUGGCGAAGGCGGGUCUCUGGGCCGGAACUGACGCUAAGGAGCGAAAGCGUGGGGAGCGAACAGG